GAUGAAGAACGCAGCGAAAUGCGAUAAGUAAUGUGAAUUGCAGAAUUCAGUGAAUCAUCGAAUCUUUGAACGCACAUUGCGCCCCCUGGUAUUCCGGGGGGCAUGCCUGUCCGAGCGUCAUUACAACCCUCAAGCUCAGCUUGGUGUUGGGCCCCGCCGCCCCGGCGGGCCCUAAAGUCAGUGGCGGUGCCGUCCGGCUCCGAGCGUAGUAAUUCUUCUCGCUCUGGAGGUCCGGUCGUGUGCUCGCCAGCAACCCCCAAUUUUUUUCAGGUUGACCUCGGAUCAGGUAGGGGUACCCGCUGAACUUAAGCAUAUCAAUAAGCGGAGGA
Molecule: unclassified non-coding RNA, 329 nt
Filed under: soil metagenome
Description: partial contains 5.8S ribosomal RNA, internal transcribed spacer 2, and large subunit ribosomal RNA
Rfam family: 5.8S ribosomal RNA (bases 1-120)
Source: RNAcentral